RNAcentral lists this small RNA (102 nucleotides) under Marmota monax (woodchuck). Lineage: Eukaryota; Metazoa; Chordata; Mammalia; Rodentia; Sciuridae. The record is from RNAcentral.
GGGCAUGGUGGUGCAUGCCUGCAAUCCCAGCAACUGGGGAAUGAGGCAGGAGGAUUACAAGUUCAAAGGCAGCCUCGGCAACUUAGUGAGACUUUGCCUCAA